RNAcentral lists this ribosomal RNA (440 nucleotides) under uncultured bacterium. RNAcentral's name for it is "partial 16S ribosomal RNA". It matches the Rfam family "Bacterial small subunit ribosomal RNA", at positions 338 to 795 of the family's 1533-position model. The record is from RNAcentral.
CCUACGGGAGGCAGCAGUAGGGAAUCUUUCGCAAUGGAGGGAACCCUGAUGCAGCAACGCCGCGUGAGUGAAGAAGGAAUUCGGUUUGUAAAGCUCUGUCAUCAGGGAAGAACAUGACGGUGCCUGAGUAAGAAACCCCGUCUAACUACGUUCCAACAGCCGCGGUAAUACGUAGGUGGCAAGCGUUGUCCGGAUUUACUGGUUGGAAACGGAGCGGAGACUGCAGUGCAAUUCUGGAGUGAAAGGCGGGGGCGUAACCCACGGACUGCUCUGGAAACUGUACGGCUGGAGUGCAGGAGAGGCAAGUGGAAUUCCUAGUGUAGCGGUGAAAUGCGUAGAUAUUAGGAGGAACACCAGUGGCGAAGGCGGCUUACUGGAUUGUAACUGACGUUGAGGCUCGAAAGCGUGGGGAGCAAACAGGAUUAGAUAACCUAGUAGUC